GAGUAGCUCAGCUGGAUAGAGCAACAGCCUUCUAAGCUGUGGGUCGUGGGUUCGAAUCCCGCCUCG
RNAcentral lists this transfer RNA (66 nucleotides) under fish gut metagenome. It matches the Rfam family "tRNA", at positions 5 to 66 of the family's 71-position model. From Rfam's summary of the family: Transfer RNA (tRNA) molecules are approximately 80 nucleotides in length. The record is from RNAcentral.